Molecule: transfer RNA, 69 nt
Filed under: Marmota monax (woodchuck)
Lineage: Eukaryota; Metazoa; Chordata; Mammalia; Rodentia; Sciuridae
Description: tRNA.Ala
Rfam family: tRNA (bases 4-64)
About the family: Transfer RNA (tRNA) molecules are approximately 80 nucleotides in length.
Source: RNAcentral
GUCUGUAGCUCAGUGGUAGAGUGCUUGCCUUGCAUGCAUGAGGCACUAGGUUCGAUCCUUAGCACCACA